CCUACGGGGGGCAGCAGUGAGGAAUAUUGGUCAAUGGGCGAGAGCCUGAACCAGCCAAGUCGCGUGAAGGAAGAAGGUCCUAUGUAUUGUAAACUUCUUUUGUCGGGGAACAAAGUCGGCGACGCGUCUCCGGAUGAGUGUACCCGAAGAAAAAGCAUCGGCUAACUCCGUGCCAGCAGCCGCGGUAAUACGGAGGAUGCGAGCGUUAUCCGGAUUUAUUGGGUUUAAAGGGUGCGCAGGCGGGAGAUCAAGUCAGCGGUAAAAUGUCGGGGCUCAACCCCGGCCUGCCGUUGAAACUGGUGUUCUAGAGUGGGAGAGAAGUAUGCGGAAUGCGUGGUGUAGCGGUGAAAUGCAUAGAUAUCACGAAGAACUCCGAUUGCGAAGGCAGCAUACCGGCGCCAUACUGACGCUGAGGCACGAAAGCGUGGGGAUCGAACAGGAUUAGAUACCCUUGUAGUC
This 459-nucleotide ribosomal RNA is filed under the name uncultured bacterium. Its description in RNAcentral is "partial 16S ribosomal RNA". It matches the Rfam family "Bacterial small subunit ribosomal RNA", at positions 338 to 795 of the family's 1533-position model. The record is from RNAcentral.